AUUGAACGCUGGCGGCAGGCUUAACACAUGCAAGUCGAGCGGGGGAAGGUAGCUUGCUACCGGACCUAGCGGCGGACGGGUGAGUAAUGCUUAGGAAUCUGCCUAUUAGUGGGGGACAACAUCUCGAAAGGGAUGCUAAUACCGCAUACGUCCUACGGGAGAAAGCAGGGGAUCUUCGGACCUUGCGCUAAUAGAUGAGCCUAAGUCGGAUUAGCUAGUUGGUGGGGUAAAGGCCUACCAAGGCGACGAUCUGUAGCGGGUCUGAGAGGAUGGUCCGCCACACUGGGACUGGAGCACGGCCCAGACUCCUACGGGAGGCAGCAGUGGGGAAUAUUGGACAAUGGGGGGAACCCUGAUCCAGCCAUGCCGCGUGUGUGAAGAAGGCCUUAUGGUUGUAAAGCACUUUAAGCGAGGAGGAGGCUACUUUAGUUAAUACCUAGAGAUAGUGGACGUUACUCGCAGAAUAAGCACCGGCUAACUCUGUGCCAGCCGCCGCAGUAA
RNAcentral lists this ribosomal RNA (501 nucleotides) under uncultured bacterium. RNAcentral describes it as "partial 16S ribosomal RNA". It matches the Rfam family "Bacterial small subunit ribosomal RNA", at positions 30 to 523 of the family's 1533-position model. The record is from RNAcentral.